Molecule: RNA transcript, 1807 nt
Organism: Zingiber officinale
Lineage: Eukaryota; Viridiplantae; Streptophyta; Magnoliopsida; Zingiberales; Zingiberaceae
Gene name: protein PLASTID REDOX INSENSITIVE 2, chloroplastic-like
Exons: 7
Source: RefSeq, a predicted model, not a curated record
CUUUGUAGUGUUGGGCUUCGGCCAAUUUCUUCGUCAUUUCUGCCGUUCGCAUUAUCCGAACCUUCUCGGUUUCGCUUCCGACGUCUCGCUCGCUUCCGUCAGUGGCCGAUCGGCCUCUCCACCCCUUCUCCUUCGAUGAAUGUGGCGAUCGGUACAUCCGCUGGAAGUACUUGGCGAGCGGCAUGGCAGCAGCCCGUCUACCUCUACCCUGAUCCCAUCCCUGAAUUCGCCAAAGCUGAGACGCGGAAGUUCGAGGACGAGCUCCGGAAAAAGCUUGUGAAGAGCAAAGAGGUCUUCAGAGACGACGUGGACGAAGUCGUGAAGAUUUGCGCGGAGCUUCUCGUGCUGCCUUUGGCUCAGAGCUCUGGCGACUUCUGACCAAGAAAAUCCCCACAUACGAUCGCCCGUUAGUUCGCCCCGGAAGACUAGAAAACGGUAAUUAGCACGGCAGAAGAAUAAAGACACGAGAAAUAAGAACCUUGAGAGCUGAUCAACCGGUAUACUUGGCCGAGCAGAAGCAUUUCCUUGGGCUUUAGCAGCUUCACCCUAGUAAUCCGGAUGCCGCUGCCAUCCUGCCUCUCAUCUGGCUGGAUGUGGAGGGUGACGAGAGCCACGUGGUAGCCCGGGUUGCUCUUCAUGACGUUGGCGGCGCUCGUCGGCCAGAGUAGCCUCUCCACCUUCCCACCAGGGUACUGGAUCACCACGGCCGUCGUAUCCACUGCCUGGCAAUUCCCCAUCCUUCUCUAUAUUGCCUUUCCCUGCAGUUGAGUAGUAAUUUAGCACACAGGAUUGAAUGGAGAAGCGUGGCAGGGAAGAAAGAAAUAGAGAAAGGAGCAUUCAACUGCAGCUGCCUUGUUUGAGUUGUCUUAUUUAAUGAGAUAGAACGAGGGAGAAUGAAAACUUCCGUCUACCUUUAAGAACCUUCCACGUGGCAUGAUGUCACUAGUGGGCCAUUAUAGUAUAAGAGCAGGUAAGCGCGCGUGUUAUACGUUGCAGGCCAUGAAGGAGAGGAAUCAUAACAUCUCCUGCAUGCAGGGGGCGUGAGAUUCUUCAUGCCAUGGGAGUGUGAAUGUCAGUGGGAGUGGCCACGUUAUACCAAGAGAAGGUAAGUAGACUGUUGUCACUGAUAGUGAUAUAACAUUGUUGGUUUCUUCACUACAGCCAGCUUAUGGAAUGGGAUAUGGAGGGCAAAGGCUGCAACUACCUUUCUGUGAUGGUCGCUUGCCCACACUUGAACAAACCUUAUCUUGAUCUGUGGCGCUAAUUAAAUUGGUGCCGUGAGCCUCAGGGGCACAUGAGUUCAGCUGCAGUAACCAAAUGGUCCAACUUGACCCACCCCUUUCUCCAGUCCAUGAUUGCCCUAUGUUGUGGCAUGAAAUCGGUGAUUAUGGUCCAUGUCCCAAAUCAUGCACACAUUCGAAAGAUAAAUGUCCGUAACAUGCUUACAUGUCAGCACCAGAAUUUGAUCAUGUUCAUCAGCAAAGAAAAUUUACUAUGGACGGCAAACUUUAAAUAAAUAAGGAAAAAGGGGACUGCACGGCAGACAGAAUGGCUUGUUGCAUGUAGAUAACCACCACCUGAGAGUUGAAGGUAUGAUGCCUUCAAACCUUCAAAUGCUAGCUUGUAUGAUAGCCCCUCAAGGAUUAUUUUUUCUUCAAAGCACUACUCUUCAGUCCAGUGUCAAUAUCCCUUCAUUUAGUUCAUAAACGGACUACACGCCAUUAAGAGGUCAUGUGAAAUGUUGGAGUUCUCACCUCAGUAGGGAAUGACCUAAACUACAUAAAUAUAUCACUAUUCUCUCUGUUCA